Molecule: ribosomal RNA, 449 nt
Filed under: uncultured bacterium
Lineage: Bacteria
Description: bacterial SSU rRNA
Rfam family: Bacterial small subunit ribosomal RNA
Source: RNAcentral
AGCGAACGCUGGCGGCAGGCUUAACACAUGCAAGUCGAGCGGGCGUAGCAAUACGUCAGCGGCAGACGGGUGAGUAACGCGUGGGAACGUACCUUUUGGUUCGGAACAACCCAGGGAAACUUGGGCUAAUACCGGAUAAGCCCUUACGGGGAAAGAUUUAUCGCCGAAAGAUCGGCCCGCGUCUGAUUAGCUAGUUGGUGAGGUAACGGCUCACCAAGGCGACGAUCAGUAGCUGGUCUGAGAGGAUGAUCAGCCACAUUGGGACUGAGACACGGCCCAAACUCCUACGGGAGGCAGCAGUGGGGAAUAUUGGACAAUGGGCGCAAGCCUGAUCCAGCCAUGCCGCGCGAGUGAUGAAGGCCCUAGGGUUGUAAAGCUCUUUUGUGCGGGAAGAUAAUGACGGUACCGCAAGAAUAAGCCCCGGCUAACUUCGUGCCAGCAGCCGCAGU